ACUUGUCACUGCUGACUGAGGAUAAUUUUAACCGUCGAUCCCAACCGUUUAGUACUGGUAAAUCGCUCCACCUACGUUACUAUACGCGUAUAACAGUAAGGAAUUGACGUGCCGAUGGUGAAAGAACGCGUUUUGUGCCUACGACUCUUUCAUCUUGUACCGCGGUGGCGCACUUUUCAACACGCCGUCAUUGCAAAAAUGUGUUACGAUACGUGUAUUAAAUCGUAAAAAAAAAAAAAAAAAAAAAUUGAAGCUGAGAUCUCAUUUUACUCAAAGUCCCGGAUAACGAGCGUAGCGUACUCCUGCUUGUAUCGAACUUUAUAAACAAAUUACUUGUGAAGUCUGAUCGACUGGAAAGGCAUGAAACUGAAAGGAUAAACGCGUUAGCGUAUGCUUAACUCCGAUCAGUUACAAGCACGUUCAAUAGGACAACGUUUUUUCAAGUUCGUGAUCGUUUCAGUUACCUUCUUCUUAUUUUCCUUUCAACGAUCACUAGAAGCAUCGAAUAGAAGAUCCAGUAGGAUCGAAAUUCACGUAUCAUUUUCGCGCGUAUCUUUCAAUUUCAUCGUUUCACAUUCGAAUCUUCCAAAUGUUUUGUCUUUUCGCUGUCGCUGAGAGUUUGACAAAUAGUUUCUUGUUUGAUGGAAGAUUAUAUCCUUUUAAGUUCAUCUUGUACGGUACACGAGGUAUAACAGUAUUAACGCUAUCUGUAGGUAGCAACGGAUACGUGCUAAAUUGCACUCACCGUAUUUUAGUUAACAAUUUUUAACUAAUUUUAUUUUACGCCUACACUGCCUGUCGUUAUUCUAUAUAAGUACACGAUUAUACGUGAAAGCAUUACACUGACUGUACAUAAAAUAUAUCGAGAACUAUUUUGCUACGAAGCUGCAUAUGCUUUAUAUCGAUUGUUUUAGUUAAUCGCAUAUCAUUUACCGAGCUUCGUAUAACAAAACGACUGUCCAAAUUAUCAAUAUAUAUCCUGGAAAUAGAGCGAUAUUAAAGUGAUCGUAAUUUUAAGCAGUUCGAUUUCGGUUUCAUGCCUUCCGUGAAUUUAUCACGUAAAAGCUAUACGUCGCAGAAAUCAUUCAAAUUACAUUUUACAUAACAUAUCGAAACACGAAGAAAAGAGAAAUUACAAAUUUUCCUCUGUAGAUUCUAUUAUCUACCGUGAAAAUUGAAUAGGACGUAGAUCAACAAAUUAUACACAUGUAUUCGACACAGUUGAUCCGUGUUCUACCCAAAACACGAAGAUUCGGGAAACUUUCUUGAAUCGUAUCUUAGCGUCUAUAAAAGGACUCGUUCAUUUCGGAGUAAUUUUUUUAUUCUUGAAACACACGUGUUUAAACAAAGAUAAUUAUUAGAAAUGUAACAAAAAAAAAAAAGAGAACCAAAGUAUGCUUGUAAUUGAAUAUACAUCAAUAUAGGUUUGAUUUUAAAGCAAUAAAAAUACAAACUUUUACCGUCUCUGUUUAACUCUACAAAAGAAAAUAAAAACAGAAUUUCCUUGGAACGAAUCGUUGUCUGCUAGAUCGACGCGAACACAACUGGAUUUAAAACCAAAAGAAAAUAAAGAGAGAGAGAGAGAGGGAGAGAGAGAGAAAAAGGAAUAUAAAACUGUACGUGACAUAGUUAUACAGUACUGUGCACUUACUUUGUGGAAAACUUUCUCGAGAGCUUAUUUAAUAUGUUUGUGCCACGAAGUUACGAGAAGAAGAGCGUUACGAUGUGAUAUAUGCAAAUCCCCGUGGAUGUUCUGAAAAUGCACCCAAGCAGUGAAGAGAUAUACUUAACGUGAAAAUAUGCGCGCGAUGGCGAAGGGGAAAAGGAUCUUGUCAGCCCUGCCGAUUAAACGAGCAAGAAUAUUUUAAGAGGCGAUGUAAUCGACAGACUGUCACUUGUCUGCGCGUGAAGACGGCGAAUACUAACUUUACCGUGUCCGAAGGUCCGAACUUCUACUAGUCUGGCCAACGAUUGCGUACCACUGCCGAGCCAUACCGAUGUACCGUGUUAGCGUACCGUGAGUGCCCGUACACGUUGUAUCCAUUAAUUAUUGGCCAAGCACAUCCGACGACGAAACGUUCGAUGUACUUAGAACGAAAGCGAGAGCGCGGCGCACUAGAGAGAAAGAUCGCAAACUAAAGGAAUGGACAGAGUGUAUCACGAUUUAUGUAAAAACGAAAAAACAAAAAAAAAAAAAAAGAGAAUCUAACAAAGAAACGUUAUGUCGCUAGCUUCUUCACACCUGUAUGUAUUACGCUGUUAUUGGCCGUCGGAUGUCUUGAAGUAAUACGCUUAAAUGGAGAUGAGAACUAAACCUAUUAACUUUGUGGAUUUCCUCUCUCGUUAUUAUCUGUAUCUUCCCACUGGGUAUGUACCGAGAGUAUUGUUCCUUUUAUAAGCUUGUCGGCGCAAGUAAAUGUCGAGCAAUCGGACAUUAGAUUUGUAUACAGCGAAAGAGUGCGAAUGCAAAUGCUACGACGAAAGGAGAGAAUGAGCGCGGUAAUGUAAGACCUAGAGAAAACAUAGAGAGGAGGUAUCGAUUGGCGGAGUGGAAGAGAACAAAUUCAGAGUACCAGAGUGAUGGAAGGACAAAGAAAAGAGGAAGGAGAUCCCGUUGUCCUCCAGUGUGUAUGCUUUCAUGUGGAAAGAGAACGAAUCUUCGUGUUACUCGAAUGCUUAAGAAGCUAAUGCCUCUUACGUUUUCUUACUUUUUCGUUACUAGUAUCGUUUGUAAGCAUGAUCUCUCGAUGGAACAUAUACGACACAAACAUACACAUACAAACAUAUGCACACACACCAAAUUUCGCGAUUAGGGUAUAUAUUAGUAAUGAAUUCCAAAAUUAAGGAACGGAGUUAUCUCCGUGAGAGGAGAGAGAGGAAGGGAGCACGCGCAAGAGAAUGAAAGUGAGAACGUAUGAAAGAAAGAAAAAUGCGCGAGUGAAUCUUGUGGAAACGAGAGAGUCUCCGUAUUUAUAUCGCUAUUCAGCCACAUAUCGUUGGCGUGAUUAUGCUGCAACUAUGUUGCAAUUUAGCUUGUAGUCUUUUUUUUAGUCGAUUUUUCAUGUGUCACCAGUUUUUAAAUAUAACACGACUGACUGCUGGUUAAGUAUGGUUGUGAGCGAUUAAGAAAAUGUUUCCUUAUCUUAUCCGGGAUAUAUGUCCCCUUUUCUUAACGAUAUUUUUGUUUUCUUAUUCAUUCUUGUACUUCGUAUAGAAAAGGUUGUUAUGCUCGUCCCAAUGACGAAUUCGAUCGUCCAUUACUAAUGAUAGAACAAUGAUUGAGUUUGAAAACGAUUAUUUGUAUAUUUGUAAAAUGGUGCGAAUAGAUCGGACCGAGAUCAAUGUAUGUAUGUGUCUUUCAUUUCCUCGCUUUUAAUGAGUUGCUACAAACUCACGACUUACCGUUCGUUUUUCAAUUACGAGAACGACAGGCGGUCAUGUUCCAGCAAGACUCGAGCUGAUCGCAAAUCAAUCCGUAGAGGAUAUGUGAUUUCCGUUGCGUUUCUUUUUUCAAUCGUUUGUUUCGUAAUUAUUACAAAGCGAAAUUUAUUAUUUUUAAUCGUAUAUUGAAAAAUUUACUCGAUAUUUUCUUUUCUUGUAUCGAUUAUAUAAGACUCGUUCCUUAAUUAUUUCUUUAACCCUGACUAUUUUUUUUGUGUGGAUUCUGUGCAUGUAACUGGUAUCUUCUUUAAUCGUUCCAUUACAUGUAUUUCCAAUUCGUUUUCAUUAUAAAGCAAGGGCUAAAGUUUGUAAAGCUAUUAUUAAAUUUUGAUCUGUCUUUAAGAUAUUUACCUUGGAAUGUUAGUAACAUUUAUUUAAAAAGAAAAAAAACGCAUUCAAUUAUAGCUAUAAUAUGUUAAUCAAUGUGUUGCGUUUUUGUAGUGAAUUUUUCACGCGAUACAUUUCGCUCUGCGAACAUGAUCUAGAUAAUGUACGGUUAGUGUGCGUUUUAAUUAUUAUUAUAAAAGUUUGUGUAGCAUGUAUUCGUUGUUAAAGCAUUCUGCAGCUUGUGUUCGAUGAUUAUUUGCCAUUUAUAUGGAAUUGGCAGCUCAUGUGCAUUAUAAUAGUAUGCCCAUGUAAUGAGUGUGAUUGAUGACGUUAUAGAAAUUUUGAGAAGUUUAUCGAUAUAGUGAGGAGACGUUAUGCUAUGGAAAGAAAAAAUAAAAAUCGGGCGACGAUUAAUUUUUGUAAAUAGGAAUUAUUGGAAUGGAUAUAGAAGUACGCACACGGAAACACGAAAAGUUAAAAUAUGUGAAAUGUCGGAUAUCCGGACAUGUAUCAGCUUCAGAUUAUAUAUACAUAUACAUAUAUGCAUAAACAAUAUCAAUAAUGGCGAUUACUAAGCUGUAUUGUUAUUACAGUAAUUACCACUGUCUCGCAACGGCAGUGAUCGACUAAUUUUAUUACCGCGUAAUCGUAAAUGAUGCCAGUGAGAAGUGAAUGUGUUCUUUGUGACGAAAUCGAACGAAGAAGAGUAUGGAAAUCGCUAAUGAAUUAUUCCAUUUGCUAAUUUAUAGAGACAAUUUAAAAGUAUCGAAGAUGCUUUUCGAAGAUAUUUUGUCCAUUUCGUACAUGUCUACAAACACAAAGACAAUGACGUCUGAAGUUUUUGAGCGAGAAUAUUCUAUUAUAUUAAUGGAACGACAUUGUUCACUUUUAACGUGCUUUUGUUAUUCUAUUAGUGGAUUCGUUUUCUUUCCACUUACGAAACUAAUAAUCUAUUAAAGAUAAAAAAAAAGAAGAUUAAUGUACAUAGAAAUUAAAUUGUUUGAGUACUA
Long non-coding RNA from Bombus pascuorum, 4778 nucleotides. RefSeq lists it as uncharacterized. The record is from RefSeq and is a predicted model, not a curated record. The transcript has 2 exons. Lineage: Eukaryota; Metazoa; Arthropoda; Insecta; Hymenoptera; Apidae.